AGGACGAACGCUGGCGGUGCGCCUAACACAUGCAAGUCGAACGGUGAACCGGGCUUCGGCCCGGGGAUCAGUGGCGAACGGGUGCGUAACACGUGGGCAACCUGCCCCCGACCCUGGGAUAACCCCGGGAAACCGGAGCUAAUACCGGAUACUCUCCUCCGACCACAUGGUCAGAAGAGGAAAGGUCCGCCGGUCGGGGAUGGGCCCGCGGCCUAUCAGCUUGUUGGUGGGUAACGGCCUACCAAGGCGACGACGGGUAGCUGGUCUGAGAGGACGACCAGCCACACUGGGACUGAGACACGGCCCAGACUCCUACGGGAGGCAGCAGUGGGGAAUCUUGCGCAAUGGGCGAAAGCCUGACGCAGCGACACCGCGUGGGGGAUGAAGGCCUUUCAGGUCGUAAACCCUUUCGGCAGGGACGAAGCGAUCUACGUGACGGUACCUGCAGAAGAAGCCUCGGCUAACUACGUGCCAGCAGCCGC
RNAcentral lists this ribosomal RNA (482 nucleotides) under uncultured soil bacterium. RNAcentral's name for it is "bacterial SSU rRNA". It matches the Rfam family "Bacterial small subunit ribosomal RNA", at positions 26 to 518 of the family's 1533-position model. The record is from RNAcentral.